GACGAACGCUGGCGGCGUGCUUAACACAUGCAAGUCGAACGGUGACGAGGAGCUUGCUCCUCUGAUCAGUGGCGAACGGGUGAGUAACACGUGAGCAACCUGCCCCUCACUCUGGGAUAACACUUGGAAACAGGUGCUAAUACCGGAUACGACACAGACAGGCAUCUGUACUGUGUGGAAAGUUUUUCGGUGAGGGAUGGGCUCGCGGCCUAUCAGUUAGUUGGUGGGGUAAUGGCCUACCAAGACGACGACGGGUAGCCGGCCUGAGAGGGCGACCGGCCACACUGGGACUGAGACACGGCCCAGACUCCUACGGGAGGCAGCAGUGGGGAAUAUUGCACAAUGGGCGAAAGCCUGAUGCAGCGACGCCGCGUGAGGGAUGACGGCCUUCGGGUUGUAAACCUCUUUCAGCAGGGAAGAAGCGCAAGUGACGGUACCUGCAGAAGAAGCACCGGCUAACUACGUG
Molecule: ribosomal RNA, 466 nt
Filed under: uncultured organism
Description: bacterial SSU rRNA
Rfam family: Bacterial small subunit ribosomal RNA
Source: RNAcentral